CGAGCUGACCGGGCGGCCGCGGUGGCGGGAACCGGAUCUCCAGAUUCGUAGCCCACUGCCGAGGAAAGUCCGGACUCCACAGAGCAGGGUGGUUGCUAACGGCAACCCGAGGUAACUCGCGGGAAAGUGCCACAGAAAACAGACCGCCGCCGCUUUGCUUUCCGGAGCAGAACGGCGGUCAGGGUGAAACGGUGCGGUAAGAGCGCACCAGCGCUUCGGGUGACCGGAGCGGCUAGGUAAACCCCACCCGGAGCAAGGUCAAAGGUCGGACCGGGCAACCAGUCCGGCUGCGCGGGUGUUCGAGGGCUGCUCGCCCGAGCCUGCGGGUGGACCGCUCGAGGUACCCGGCAACGGUGUGCCCAGAUGGAUGGUCGCCACGCGCUGCGUGCAGCGCGGACAGGAUCCGGCUUACAAGUCAGCUCGUCCG
RNAcentral lists this RNase P RNA (427 nucleotides) under Antrihabitans auranticaus. RNAcentral describes it as "Antrihabitans sp. YC2-6 Bacterial RNase P class A". It matches the Rfam family "Bacterial RNase P class A". Rfam says of the family: Ribonuclease P (RNase P) is a ubiquitous endoribonuclease, found in archaea, bacteria and eukarya as well as chloroplasts and mitochondria. Its best characterised activity is the generation of mature 5'-ends of tRNAs by cleaving the 5'-leader elements of precursor-tRNAs. Cellular RNase Ps are ribonucleoproteins. Lineage: Bacteria; Bacillati; Actinomycetota; Actinomycetes; Mycobacteriales; Nocardiaceae. The record is from Rfam by way of RNAcentral.